Molecule: ribosomal RNA, 253 nt
Filed under: uncultured bacterium
Lineage: Bacteria
Description: partial 16S ribosomal RNA
Rfam family: Bacterial small subunit ribosomal RNA
Source: RNAcentral
UACAGAGACUGCAAGCGUUAUUCGGAUUCACUGGGCGUAAAGGGUGCGCAGGCGGUUGGGUGUGUCAGAUGUGAAAACCCGAGGCUCAACCUCGGAACUGCGUCUGAAACUACUCGACUAGAGUACUGGAGAGGGUAACGGAAUUCACGGUGUAGCAGUGAAAUGCGUAGAUAUCGGGAGGAACACCAGAGGCGAAGGCGGUUACCUGGACAGUUACUGACGCUCAGGCACGAAAGCAUGGGGAGCAAAAGGG